UUUCUGUUGUACCAAAGUCUUCGCUGAUUUUGUGCAUCAACAACUUGAAUCAAAACACUUAAAAACACAAAUUAAAACAAAUUCUAACUAAUUAGACACACUAAAGUAAAGGGGGAUUGAGUUUUGGACGAAGUUGAAAUAAACAAACAAGUAUGAAAAACUAGACAGAUUGUAAAACAAAUUUGAGAAAUAAGAUGAUGGAUGGGAUAGCUAGAGGCUUUUUCUCCACACAUGACAUGUAUGCAAAUAAAUUGAUUUCCAGUUACCACUUCAUUGAAUUAUGAAUGACAACGCUCCAAAUUAACCGUGACAUCACUAG
RNAcentral lists this long non-coding RNA (319 nucleotides) under Malus domestica (apple). RNAcentral describes it as "long non-coding RNA (MDOM_LNC013537)". Lineage: Eukaryota; Viridiplantae; Streptophyta; Magnoliopsida; Rosales; Rosaceae. The record is from RNAcentral.